UCUGCCAAAUACUCUUUGUCAAAUAACAGUUCCAAUAAAUCUAUUUUCUGUUUGAGUUAUUAAAUAAAAUAUGAAUUUGAUUACAAGCAGUCAAGCAGUUGAUCGAUAGUACUUCAAGACUGUUUACCACUUUACCCUCAUGGUGGAUGUUAGGUUUGGGAAGUUGUGACUCUGGGAGGUCGUUUAGACAGUGUUUAGGGGUUUGGAGUAUCAAAUUUAUGGUUUUGAAAUUUGAAUGCUGGUUGAAUUUGGCAUUCAGUGGUUAUGGUGUUCAAAUUAGUCAAAUAGGAGGUCAACAACUAUCUCUAAUUUAGAAACUAUUAGUUUCUCUUGUUUGGACAAGAAAGAAAAUGUAAGGGAAAGAUUAUAGAAAUUGGGGAAGAAAAUAAUCCUUUAUCGUAUCAAACAUAUUUUUCUCUAACAAAAUGGGAGGAAAAUGAUGAAAAAAUUAGCCCUCUAUUUCUCAGUGGACAUGACGUAUGGAACUCCUUUCUUCCUCUCUCUCUCUCUCUCUCUCUCUCUAUCUAUCUCUCUCUCUCUCUCUCUCUCUCUCUUAAUUUCCUUCCUAUCUAACCAACUUGCCCACCCCUCCCUACCCCAAACUUUCUCCCCAUCCUAAUUCCUAACACAGCACAAAUGUUGAAAUGGGGUGAUAUGAUAUCAUCAGUUGCAUGGUGGUAAUACACAGGUGCUUUAUUUGGGACUGAUUGCCCUAUUAUUGUGGCAGACCUUAUACUGAUAUUGGUGGGGCCAUGCAAACUUACACAGUCAUAGAAGAGGAGAGAAAUAGAGCAAGUAAUCUUUUAGCUAGUGGCCGAGCCAGGAUUUAGCUGUUGAUGGGCAAGUGUGAUGGUGGUGAAGUGAAGUUUAGGUUGAGUCAAGUUUUGACACAUCUAAUUUUCGAAUUGUAUAGAUGUUGGAAUUGGGUCUAGUUGGUUUUUAUUGAAUUUAAGUAUGAACCUUAAAAAUGGACUGGAUUGACUCAUUUCUCUUUGGGCUCAAAUUAGUUAAUAAAAAAUCAUAUUAUUCUAAAA
Ipomoea nil (Japanese morning glory) is the source of this 1034-nucleotide long non-coding RNA. RefSeq lists it as uncharacterized. The record is from RefSeq and is a predicted model, not a curated record. NCBI's taxonomy places the organism in Eukaryota, Viridiplantae, Streptophyta, Magnoliopsida, Solanales, Convolvulaceae. The transcript is spliced from 2 exons.